UGGGGAAUAUUGCACAAUGGGCGCAAGCCUGAUGCAGCGACGCCGCGUGAGUGAAGAAGUAUUUCGGUAUGUAAAGCUCUAUCAGCAGGGAAGAAAAUGACGGUACCUGACUAAGAAGCCCCGGCUAACUACGUGCCAGCAGCCGCGGUAAUACGUAGGGGGCAAGCGUUAUCCGGAUUUACUGGGUGUAAAGGGAGUGUAGGUGGCAUGGCAAGUCAGAAGUGAAAGCCCGGGGCUCAACCGCGGGACUGCUUUUGAAACUGUCAGGCUUGAGUGCAGGAGAGGUAAGCGGAAUUCCUAGUGUAGCGGUGAAAUGCGUAGAUAUUAGGAGGAACACCAGUGGCGAAGGCGGCUUACUGGACUGUAACUGACACUGAGGCUCGAAAGCGUGGGGAGCAAACAGG
RNAcentral lists this ribosomal RNA (404 nucleotides) under uncultured bacterium. Its description in RNAcentral is "bacterial SSU rRNA". It matches the Rfam family "Bacterial small subunit ribosomal RNA", at positions 355 to 776 of the family's 1533-position model. The record is from RNAcentral.